AAUGUCCUACGGGAGGCAGCAGUGGGGAAUAUUGCACAAUGGGGGAAACCCUGAUGCAGCAACGCCGCGUGAGUGAUGACGGCCUUCGGGUUGUAAAGCUCUGUCUUCAGGGACGAUAAUGACGGUACCUGAGGAGGAAGCCACGGCUAACUACGUGCCAGCAGCCGCGGUAAUACGUAGGUGGCGAGCGUUGUCCGGAUUUACUGGGCGUAAAGGGAGCGUAGGCGGGCCUUUAAGUGAGAUGUGAAAUACUCGGGCUCAACGUGAGUGCUGCAGUUCAAACUGGAAGUC
RNAcentral lists this ribosomal RNA (291 nucleotides) under uncultured bacterium. Its description in RNAcentral is "partial 16S ribosomal RNA". It matches the Rfam family "Bacterial small subunit ribosomal RNA", at positions 333 to 641 of the family's 1533-position model. The record is from RNAcentral.